Molecule: ribosomal RNA, 440 nt
Filed under: uncultured bacterium
Lineage: Bacteria
Description: bacterial SSU rRNA
Rfam family: Bacterial small subunit ribosomal RNA
Source: RNAcentral
UCCUGGCUCAGAACGAACGCUGGCGGCAGGCCUAACACAUGCAAGUCGAGCGCCCCGCAAGGGGAGCGGCGGACGGGUGAGUAACGCGUGGGAACGUACCCUUUGCUACGGAAUAGCCUCGGGAAACUGGGAGUAAUACCGUAUGUGCCCUUCGGGGGAAAGAUUUAUCGGCAAAGGAUCGGCCCGCGUUGGAUUAGGUAGUUGGUGGGGUAAUGGCCUACCAAGCCGACGAUCCAUAGCUGGUUUGAGAGGAUGAUCAGCCACACUGGGACUGAGACACGGCCCAGACUCCUACGGGAGGCAGCAGUGGGGAAUCUUAGACAAUGGGCGCAAGCCUGAUCUAGCCAUGCCGCGUGAGCGAUGAAGGCCUUAGGGUUGUAAAGCUCUUUCAGCGGGAAGAUAAUGACUGUACCCACAGAAGAAGCCCGGCUAACUCCGUG